Molecule: unclassified non-coding RNA, 351 nt
Filed under: Ampullaceana ampla
Lineage: Eukaryota; Metazoa; Mollusca; Gastropoda; Lymnaeidae
Description: sequence contains ITS2
Source: RNAcentral
UCGCGUCGCUUGCUCUUGCGACGCGCUCUGGACCUUCGCGUGUUGUGCCCGGUGGCCCCGUGGUCUUAAGCACAAGCCGCGCCGUUGUCCGUGUUCGUCUCGGGACGUCCGCGACGCCGCCUUGCUCUCGGCGGCGGCCAAAUUUCCUCUCCGUCACCGCUAUGCGGGACCCGGCUCGCUCUCGCUAACGGGCCCGCUUAUAACGAGCUUCAGGGUGACGGCGGAGGAGAGAAGCUUACGCUGACGCUCGCUCGACGAGUCGGCGCCCGUACGAAAAAAUAAAUAAAAAAAUAACUGUGCGUUAUUUUUUUUAUUUUUUUUAAUCUCCGACCUCAGAUCGGACGAGAUUAC